RNAcentral lists this transfer RNA (76 nucleotides) under Pseudoalteromonas sp. S185. RNAcentral's name for it is "tRNA-Val". It matches the Rfam family "tRNA". From Rfam's summary of the family: Transfer RNA (tRNA) molecules are approximately 80 nucleotides in length. Their secondary structure includes four short double-helical elements and three loops (D, anti-codon, and T loops). The record is from RNAcentral. Lineage: Bacteria; Pseudomonadati; Pseudomonadota; Gammaproteobacteria; Alteromonadales; Pseudoalteromonadaceae.
GCGGGUGAUUAGCUCAGUUGGGAGAGCAUCGCCCUUACAAGGCGAGGGUCACUGGUUCAAGUCCAGUAACAACGCA